AAGCCGGUAGCAAUACUGGUGAGUAAAGUGGCGACCGGGUGAGUAACACGUGGAUAACCUACCCUUGAAUGGGGAAUAACCCUGGGAAACCGGGGCUAAUACCGCAUAACAUCCCGGAACGACGGUUCUGGAAUUGAAACCUGGCAACGGGGUUCAUGGAGGGGUCCGCGGCUGAUUAGCUAGUUGGUGAGGUAACGGCCCACCAAGGCUUUGAUCGGUAGCCGGCCUGAGAGGGCGGACGGCCACACUGGAACUGAAACACGGUCCAGACUCCUACGGGAGGCAGCAGUGGGGAAUUUUGCGCAAUGGGGGAAACCCUGACGCAGCAACGCCGCGUGGACGAUGAAGCAUCUUGGU
This 357-nucleotide ribosomal RNA is filed under the name uncultured bacterium. Its description in RNAcentral is "bacterial SSU rRNA". It matches the Rfam family "Bacterial small subunit ribosomal RNA", at positions 70 to 422 of the family's 1533-position model. The record is from RNAcentral.